GGGUCUUCUAAAACUGUAAUACCUUUAUUUUUCACGAAACCAUACGAGCUAAAUUCAAUAUCAAAUUAGUUGAAAAUUAUUUAAUGUGGCAAUAUUAAAAACAUAGUUGCAAUUUAGGGGUGAAACAUCUAACAAGUUUGGGGAUAUCUUGAAAAUAAAGAAAUAUAUUUAGUAUAUAAUACAAUCUAAAAAUGAUAAGGUUUUUAAACAACAUUAUAAUAGAAUUUAAUUUAGUAGAAUUAAUAAAAUAAACUAAAACUAAAAAUAUUAUUACAAUAUACUAAAAAUAUAUGUGUUAUAUUUAUUACUUUUGUUUGACUUUUUUUAAAAUUUCUUAUGAAUAUAUAAGUAUUAAUUAAAUUUUAGAUAAGGAACUCGGCAAAAAGGAUUCUCGCCUGUUUAUCAAAAACAUUUGCCUUAAGUAAUAAUUUUAGGUAAGCCCUGCUCAAUGACUUGUUAAAUAGCCGCAGUACCCUGACUGUGCAAAGGUAGCAUAAUCAAUUGGCUUAUAAUUGAAGUCUGGAAUGAACGGGUCAUACGGGAACCAUCUGUCUCAUUAAAAAAAAAGAAAUUACUUAUCAAGUGAAAAUUCUUGAUCGAGAGAUAAAAGACGAGAAGACCCUAGAAAUUUUUUAAAAAUUAGUAUAAAUAUUUUGUUGGGGCGACAUGAUAGCAAGGUUAACCUAUCAAAGAAAAUAUGAAUCUUAUAAGAUGCGUAAAUAAAUUACUCUAGGGAUAACAGCAUAAUAUUAAAAAGUUUGUGACCUCGAUGUUGGACUAGGAACUAAUUUGUUUAAAAGAUGAAUUAUACAGCUCUGUUCGAGCAAUACUUCCUACAUGAUCUGAGUUCAGACCGG
This 857-nucleotide ribosomal RNA is filed under the name Karabaghia bituberosa. Its description in RNAcentral is "partial 16S ribosomal RNA". Lineage: Eukaryota; Metazoa; Mollusca; Gastropoda; Stylommatophora; Hygromiidae. The record is from RNAcentral.